UGGAGGCGGCACUCGGGAGGCAGCGAUCGGGGCUGCAGGCCCUCAAGGGUCCCUCAGGAGUGCGCGACUGGGGCCGGUGGCUCCCGCGCUAUUGCAGGAAUGAUGCUGAGCGCAGGCCCAGGGCAGGCACCGCCUCUGAUCCCCGGCACUGCAGGUCAUGGUUCAGGGUGGGCAGCUCUGGAGACGGGCUGGUGGUGGGGAGCAGCAGUGUGUAUGUCUCCACAAGCUUAUUUUUAGUUGCGUUAUAUAAGUGGCUUCAUCUCGGCGUCAUGUAGGAAGGGGGGGGGUCUCAGAUUUAAUUACAGGAUGACAGCCGUGCAUUUCAAGCAAGCUGUUCUCCUGGCAAGGCAGGCUCAUGGAUUGGGAGCCUGUGCUCAGCAGAGGCUGCCCUUCGAGAAGUGACCCCCUCCCCAGAAGACUGUCACCCCAGCUUCACCUCCAUCCUUAGCCUCUUCACUGAGCUUGCCUGAGGCGGAGGAUAGCCAUUUGUCUAAGGUCUCCAGAGGUGGUGAGAGGGAGACCUGUGCCUGUUAAGGGACCUCUCUCCACCCCCACCCCACCCCACCCCCACCUGGCAGCUUUUCUUCCCUCCGAGGGGAGGAUCUCCCAACCAGAACUCUCCUGUUUUCAUUCCUGGCUUGAAGCUUCUGUAAUAGGUAACCAGAAAGUUCUAGAGUCGGAGAGGCAGAGAAGCAGGUGCUUGGACCCCUCUGGGGCUUCGGGAAAAGCCCUUUUCCCCUCCACACCCUUGUUGCUCAUGCUGCAGGACCAGGACCUGCGCCUGGGCCAGGCCUGAGGGCAGAAGUGUUCUUGUAUGUGCGGGGCAUCGCUCUGGUUUCAGGACAGUCUUAAUGGCUGGCCAUCGCGGUGGCUAGAACUUUAGGUGGAAGUCUCACUCCUACCAGCAGGAAGCCUAUUUCAGCUGCCAACAGCCACCUGGUCUUGUCUGCCCCUCAGGGCAUAGCCUGCCACCAUGGAGGGGACAGGUUGAGACCUGACUGUGACAAGCUCAGGGUGCAAUGUGAGGAGAGGGCCCAGGUUUAAGGAGUCCAUUCUGUCACCAGUCAGCUCGAAUGGGCGGGACAGACACGGCUGUGGCUCCUGGGCAGGUCCCUAGUCUCCUAGAGCCCCCCCCCAAAAGUGGAGAUUAGGGCUCCGUGAAGUGUCAGGAGGAGUCAUGUGGAGGAUUCACCAUGCUUUAGCAGCUGAUACUACCUGACCAGAGUGCCUGCCUUCUCAUCUGGCCAGUCCUCCCUCCCAAGCCCAGCAGGGACAGUACAGUGGACCCCCUCCUCCCCCACCAGAGUGCUUCGCAUGCUGGCAUGUCCCCAUCAUGGCUGAGGGCAGAGGCAGCAGCACAGAGGAGCCUGGAGACGGGAAGACUGACGGUCCCCUGGAGUCCCUCUGGAUCCUGGACAGAAAGAGGACACUACUAGCCUGAGGAGUUGGCUUUCUGAGCAGCCUUGGAGCUGGUGGUGCGGGACUCUGGUGUUUUUCCUGCCUUCCUGGGCUCCUAGACGUCCCAAGGAGAAAAAACCCAUGCCCAGGUUUCCAGGCCAAACGCUUAGUUGCUGCCAGCUCUUUACCACCUCCCACCACUGGGAAGGGAAGCUCUGCAGCCUCGAAGCACAGGCUGGUCCUCCGGUUGCCACUCUUGCGUGUCUUCUUCGGUUUUGAGAGAGGACCUGACUUCUAGUCCAAGCUGUCCUCAAAACCACAGGGAUCCGGUCGCCUUUGUCCACCCUCCCCACCCCACAGCGCUCAGAUUAAAGUUGAUCGGCAAGCUCUCUCAGUCUCUCCAUCCCCGAACUGACACUUCUCUGUGGAGGAUCCAGAUCCUAUGCGUGAUGCACUGCGGUCUGUGUCGGCCUGUGUCGAAACUGGAAUGAAAGUGUGCCUGCCUCUUCACACAGCCAGGAUAAACCAGGAAUGGCUGGGACCAGGCCUCCCCAGCGAGCCGGAUGCGCCACCUCUGAGGCUGUCUGGGAGAGCAGGGAACUACCUCUGGCAUAUCGCACUUGGAGUUCGGAAGACUUCUAUGCAGACAGAUGGAUGUGUUCUUAUGGACAAGGUCAAACUUCUCAGCUAAGCCACGGGGGCUCCCACCUGCCAUCCCACAGAAGGCUGAGGUGGGUAGAGGAUUGCUGUCACCCUGAGGCUCAGUCCAGAUGCAGACUGGGUCUCCAACACAGCCCCCCAGAGCUGAGAGCUAACUCAGCUUAGGAGAGCUGCUCUCAGAGGACGUGAGAUCAGUCCUCAGCUCUCACAACUUCCCGGGGCUCCAGAUGCUGGGACCUGUUGCCUUCUUCUCACUUCCAUAGAUGCCUGCACACACAUGGGGGUAUGUGGGCAUGUGUGCGUGUGUACAAAAAUAUAAAAAUAAAUAUUUAACCUCCCCCAAUAAUCUUACAGCUAAAUGUAAGUUAAAUGCUUUAAAAAAAAAAAAAGUUGCCUAAGCAAGGUACAAGGGGACGUGGUCAGUGCUAGAGAACAAAGUGUUUUAUUCUGUUUGUUUGUUUUUUAUUUUUUAGAUAUUUUUUGAGGCAUCGUCUCACCAUGUAGCCCUGGA
Mus pahari (shrew mouse) is the source of this 2569-nucleotide long non-coding RNA. RefSeq lists it as uncharacterized. The record is from RefSeq and is a predicted model, not a curated record. NCBI's taxonomy places the organism in Eukaryota, Metazoa, Chordata, Mammalia, Rodentia, Muridae. The transcript has 5 exons.